GGGGAAUAUUGGACAAUGGGGGGAACCAUGAUCCAGCCAUGCCGCGUGUGUGAAGAAGGCCUUAUGGUUGUAAAGCACUUUCAGUCAGGAGGAAGGUGUUGUAGCUAAUAUCUGCACCAAUUGACGUUACUCGCAGAAUAAGCAGCGGCUAACUCUGUGCCAGCAGCCGCGGUAAUACAGAGGGUGCGAGCGUUAAUCGGAUUUACUGGGCGUAAAGCGUGCGUAGGCGGCUUUUUAAGUCGGAUGUGAAAUCCCCGAGCUUAACUUGGGAAUUGCAUUCGAUACUGGGAAGCUAGAGUAUGGGAGAGGAUGGUAGAAUUCCAGGUGUAGCGGUGAAAUGCGUAGAGAUCUGGAGGAAUACCGAUGGCGAAGGCAGCCAUCUGGCCUAAUACAGACGCUGAGGUACGAAAGCAUGGGGAGCAAACA
RNAcentral lists this ribosomal RNA (426 nucleotides) under uncultured Acinetobacter sp. RNAcentral's name for it is "bacterial SSU rRNA". It matches the Rfam family "Bacterial small subunit ribosomal RNA", at positions 356 to 774 of the family's 1533-position model. The record is from RNAcentral. Lineage: Bacteria; Pseudomonadati; Pseudomonadota; Gammaproteobacteria; Moraxellales; Moraxellaceae.